GUGAGGAAUCUUGCGCAAUGGGGGAAACCCUGACGCAGCAACGCCGCGUGAGUGAGGAAGGUCUUCGGAUCGUAAAGCUCUGUCAGUUGGAAAGAAAUGUCUGAGAGUCAAUCCCUUUCAGGCUUGACGGUACCAACAGAGGAAGCACCGGCUAACUCCGUGCCAGCAGCCGCGGUAAUACGGGGGGUGCAAGCGUUGUUCGGAAUUAUUGGGCGUAAAGAGCGUGUAGGCGGCCGGAUAUGUCAGAUGUGAAAGCCCCGGGCUUAACCCGGGAAGUGCAUUUGAAACUGUCCGGCUCGAGUAGGGGAGAGGGAAGUGGAAUUCCUGGUGUAGAGGUGAAAUUCGUAGAUAUCAGGAGGAACACCGGUGGCGAAGGCGACUUCCUGGCCCUAUACUGACGCUGAGACGCGAGAGCGUGGGUAGCAAACAGGAUUAGAUACCCCUGUAGUCC
Molecule: ribosomal RNA, 451 nt
Filed under: uncultured bacterium
Lineage: Bacteria
Description: partial 16S ribosomal RNA
Rfam family: Bacterial small subunit ribosomal RNA
Source: RNAcentral